This 704-nucleotide ribosomal RNA is filed under the name uncultured Methanomicrobiales archaeon. Its description in RNAcentral is "bacterial SSU rRNA". It matches the Rfam family "Archaeal small subunit ribosomal RNA", at positions 118 to 832 of the family's 1478-position model. The record is from RNAcentral. Lineage: Archaea; Methanobacteriati; Methanobacteriota; Methanomicrobia; Methanomicrobiales.
AGAGGGGAUACCCGGGAAACUGGGGAUAUACCCCAUAGAUCAGGACGCUGGAAUGCCCCCUGAUUCAAAGGUCCGCCGCCUGAGGAUGGGUCUGCGGCCGAUUAGGUUGUUGUUGGGGUAACGGCCCAACAAGCCAUUGAUCGGUACGGGUUGUGAGAGCAAGAGCCCGGAGAUGGAUUCUGAGACACGAAUCCAGGCCCUACGGGGCGCAGCAGGCGCGAAAACUUUACAAUGCGAGAAAUCGUGAUAAGGGAACCCCGAGUGCCCGUAAAUUCGGGCUGUCCGCCAGUGUAAAUAACUGGUGAAGAAAGGGCCGGGCAAGACCGGUGCCAGCCGCCGCGGUAAUACCGGCGGCUCGAGUGGUGGCCACUAUUACUGGGCUUAAAGCGUCCGUAGCUGGAUUGUUAAGUCUCUUGGGAAAUCCACCGGCUCAACCGAUGGGCGUUCAGGAGAAACUGGCAAUCUAGGGACCGGGAGAGGUGAGAGGUACUCCAGGGGUAGGAGUGAAAUCCUGUAAUCCUUGGGGGACCACCUGUGGCGAAGGCGUCUCACUAGAACGGCUCCGACAGUGAGGGACGAAAGCUGGGGGAGCAAACCGGAUUAGAUACCCGGGUAGUCCCAGCUGUAAACGAUGCGCGUUAGGUGUAUCGGUGACCACGAGUCAUCGAGGUGCCGAAGGGAAACCGUGAAACGUGCCGCCUGGG